Molecule: ribosomal RNA, 773 nt
Filed under: Escherichia coli
Lineage: Bacteria; Pseudomonadati; Pseudomonadota; Gammaproteobacteria; Enterobacterales; Enterobacteriaceae
Description: partial 23S ribosomal RNA
Rfam family: Bacterial large subunit ribosomal RNA
Source: RNAcentral
AAUGGGUCAGCGACUUAUAUUCUGUAGCAAGGUUAACCGAAUAGGGGAGCCGAAGGGAAACCGAGUCUUAACUGGGCGUUAAGUUGCAGGGUAUAGACCCGAAACCCGGUGAUCUAGCCAUGGGCAGGUUGAAGGUUGGGUAACACUAACUGGAGGACCGAACCGACUAAUGUUGAAAAAUUAGCGGAUGACUUGUGGCUGGGGGUGAAAGGCCAAUCAAACCGGGAGAUAGCUGGUUCUCCCCGAAAGCUAUUUAGGUAGCGCCUCGUGAAUUCAUCUCCGGGGGUAGAGCACUGUUUCGGCAAGGGGGUCAUCCCGACUUACCAACCCGAUGCAAACUGCGAAUACCGGAGAAUGUUAUCACGGGAGACACACGGCGGGUGCUAACGUCCGUCGUGAAGAGGGAAACAACCCAGACCGCCAGCUAAGGUCCCAAAGUCAUGGUUAAGUGGGAAACGAUGUGGGAAGGCCCAGACAGCCAGGAUGUUGGCUUAGAAGCAGCCAUCAUUUAAAGAAAGCGUAAUAGCUCACUGGUCGAGUCGGCCUGCGCGGAAGAUGUAACGGGGCUAAACCAUGCACCGAAGCUGCGGCAGCGACGCUGAUGCGUUGUUGGGUAGGGGAGCGUUCUGUAAGCCUGUGAAGGUGUGCUGUGAGGCAUGCUGGAGGUAUCAGAAGUGCGAAUGCUGACAUAAGUAACGAUAAAGCGGGUGAAAAGCCCGCUCGCCGGAAGACCAAGGGUUCCUGUCCAACGUUAAUCGGGGCAGGGUGAGUCG